CAGUUGAAUUUGAGGUUUGGAUGAGACCAAAUCUUACUGGAGACUGAGACAAGAUUUGGUUUCCUCCAAUAUCUCAUGUUCAGUUG
This 86-nucleotide microRNA precursor is filed under the name Leersia perrieri. RNAcentral describes it as "MIR2275 microRNA precursor family". It matches the Rfam family "MIR2275 microRNA precursor family". Lineage: Eukaryota; Viridiplantae; Streptophyta; Magnoliopsida; Poales; Poaceae. The record is from Rfam by way of RNAcentral.